CCUACGGGAGGCUGCAGUGGGGAAUAUUGGACAAUGGGGGCAACCCUGAUCCAGCCAUGCCGCGUGUGUGAAGAAGGCCCUCGGGUUGUAAAGCACUUUCAGUGAGGAAGAACGCCUGGUGGUUAAUACCCAUCAGGAAAGACAUCACUCACAGAAGAAGCACCGGCUAACUCCGUGCCAGCAGCCGCGGUAAUACGGAGGGUGCGAGCGUUAAUCGGAAUUACUGGGCGUAAAGCGCGCGUAGGUGGCUUGAUAAGCCGGUUGUGAAAGCCCCGGGCUCAACCUGGGAACGGCAUCCGGAACUGUCAGGCUAGAGUGCAGGAGAGGAAGGUAGAAUUCCCGGUGUAGCGGUGAAAUGCGUAGAGAUCGGGAGGAAUACCAGUGGCGAAGGCGGCCUUCUGGACUGACACUGACACUGAGGUGCGAAAGCGUGGGUAGCAAACAGGAUUAGAUACCCGGGUAGUC
This 465-nucleotide ribosomal RNA is filed under the name Vreelandella stevensii. RNAcentral describes it as "partial 16S ribosomal RNA". It matches the Rfam family "Bacterial small subunit ribosomal RNA", at positions 338 to 795 of the family's 1533-position model. The record is from RNAcentral. Lineage: Bacteria; Pseudomonadati; Pseudomonadota; Gammaproteobacteria; Oceanospirillales; Halomonadaceae.